AUCAAAAGAGAAAGACUUAAACCUUCAUCCCCGGCCCCCAAAACCGGAAUCUUCAUUAAACUACCUUUUGA
This 71-nucleotide transfer RNA is filed under the name Chelonoidis niger. RNAcentral's name for it is "tRNA-Pro". The record is from RNAcentral. Lineage: Eukaryota; Metazoa; Chordata; Testudines; Testudinidae. RNAcentral also lists the same sequence under 1 other name.